RNAcentral lists this microRNA (22 nucleotides) under Haemonchus contortus (barber pole worm). Its description in RNAcentral is "hco-miR-5889". The record is from miRBase by way of RNAcentral. Lineage: Eukaryota; Metazoa; Nematoda; Chromadorea; Rhabditida; Trichostrongylidae.
UUUCUGUAAGGAAUGGAGAUGU